RNAcentral lists this ribosomal RNA (1501 nucleotides) under Entomoplasma ellychniae. RNAcentral describes it as "16S ribosomal RNA". It matches the Rfam family "Bacterial small subunit ribosomal RNA". The record is from RNAcentral. Lineage: Bacteria; Bacillati; Mycoplasmatota; Mollicutes; Entomoplasmatales; Entomoplasmataceae.
GGAUAAACGCUGGCGGCAUGCCUAAUACAUGCAAGUCGAACGGGAGUGCUUGCACUCCAGUGGCGAACGGGUGAGUAACACGUAUCUAACCUACCUUUUAGUGGGGGAUAACUUUUGGAAACGAAAGAUAAUACCGCAUAUUAAUAUCAUUAUCGCAUGAGAAGAUAUUCAAAGAUCCGUUUGGAUCGCUAAAAGAUGGGGAUGCGGCGUAUUAGUUAGUAGGCGGGGUAAUGGCCCACCUAGACAAUGAUACGUAGCCGAACUGAGAGGUUGAUCGGCCACAUUGGGACUGAGAUACGGCCCAGACUCCUACGGGAGGCAGCAGUAGGGAAUUUUUCACAAUGGACGAAAGUCUGAUGAAGCAAUGCCGCGUGAGUGAUGACGGCCUUCGGGUUGUAAAGCUCUGUUGUAAGGGAAGAAAAAAUUUGAGAGGAAAUGCUCUUAUCUUGACGGUACCUUACCAGAAAGCCACGGCUAACUAUGUGCCAGCAGCCGCGGUAAUACAUAGGUGGCAAGCGUUAUCCGGAUUUAUUGGGCGUAUAGGGUGCGUAGGCGGUUUCGCAAGUUUGAGGUUAAAGCCCGGAGCUCAACUCCGGUUCGCCUUGAAAACUGUGGGACUAGAAUAUCAGAGAGGUAAACGGAAUUCCAUGUGUAGCGGUAAAAUGCGUAGAUAUAUGGAAGAACACCAGUGGCGAAAGCGGUUUACUGGCUGAUUAUUGACGCUGAGGCACGAAAGCGUGGGGAGCAAAUAGGAUUAGAUACCCUAGUAGUCCACGCCGUAAACGUUGAGUACUAAGUAUUGGGGAUUACCUCAGUGCUGCAGCUAACGCAUUAAGUACUCCGCCUGAGUAGUAUGCUCGCAAGAGUGAAACUCAAAGGAAUUGACGGGGACCCGCACAAGUGGUGGAGCAUGUGGUUUAAUUCGAAGCAACACGAAGAACCUUACCAGGGCUUGACAUCCAGUGCAAAGCUACAGAGAUGUAGUGGAGGUAAACAUUGAGACAGGUGGUGCAUGGUUGUCGUCAGUUCGUGCCGUGAGGUGUUGGGUUAAGUCCCGCAACGAACGCAACCCUUGUCGUUAGUUACUAACAUUAAGUUGAGGACUCUAACGAGACUGCUAGUGUAAGCUAGAGGAAGGUGGGGAUGACGUCAAAUCAUCAUGCCCCUUAUGUCCUGGGCUACACACGUGCUACAAUGGCUGGUACAAAGAGUCGCAAUCUCGCGAGGGGGAGCUAAUCUCAAAAAACCAGUCUCAGUUCGGAUUGAAGUCUGCAACUCGACUUCAUGAAGCCGGAAUCACUAGUAAUCGCGGAUCAGCUAUGCCGCGGUGAAUACGUUCUCGGGUCUUGUACACACCGCCCGUCAAACCACGAGAGUUGGUAAUACCAGAAGUACGUAGCCUAACCGUAAGGAAGGCGCGUCCCAAGGUAGGACUAGCGAUUGGGGUUAAGUCGUAACAAGGUAUCCGUACGGGAACGUGCGGAUGGAUCACCUCCUUUCU